AUGUUUUACGAAAUUAUCAGCUUGACGAACGAUUGACUGACUUCAGCUGGGAAAGGUUCGGUUGCCAAAUGAACAUACAAACAUACUACUUCAUUACAUUGUGUAUUUAUUCUGCCUGUUUAUUUGAUUGCAUUCUGCCUUUUUAUUUCAUGACAUAUGGGUGCAGUACAAGUUGUUUUUACUUGAUGAGGGCCCAUGCAGUUAACACUGGAGAGAAUUUAUGAAGUUACUCACCUCACAGUGGCAAAUGCAGAAAGAAGGAGGUUAUCUUGAAUUCAGCUUGUGUUGUGAUAUUACUGGCUGUUGUCAGGAAACCGACUUGGAAUUCAGACAGAAUCCAUUAAGUAUACAUCGUAUCCGACUUUAAUUUCAUUUCCGGGGGCCUUUCUCUCUGCUUAGAGAAAACUACAUAUACACGAAAUUCAAGGAAUCUGCGAACGCUGAGGCGUCCGUGAUCAUCCUUUGCCGUGUGCAUGACGCAACUUCUUCAUAAGGCGGACCCCAGGACAUUUGUUACCUCCCCUGUUCUAACAACGCAUUUAUUUAUUUAUUUAUGAAUGGUGCUUUACGCCGUACUCAAGAAUAUUUCAGUAAUACGACGGCGGUCUAACAUCAAGAUUAAAAUAUUUUAACUUGCAUGUGCAUGUCUCUUUUUUAGGCCUAGUCAUAUAUUAUUUUACUAAUUAUUAAAUAUUAACGAAAGACUAGAAAUAAGCCAGGCUGCUACUUUACUGCCUGUAUAGGAUAUAUUGUUUAUGCCGCGUUUUCACACACAUUAGGCCGUAGGGAAUGGAGCCGCCAGCAUAUGCCAAUAUAGGCCUAUGUAGGCCUAGGUUCCUAUACCCAAUGCGCGUCAACAUUGAUUUUCAUUUUAUUUUAUGUAUUCGCAUGUCUUUUUCAUUUCAUUAAUAGAGGAAAUAUUUACAAUAACCUUCGAUUUACAGUUCCUUUUCAUGUACCCUUUGAAAGAAAACACAACAC
Long non-coding RNA from Liolophura sinensis, 981 nucleotides. RefSeq lists it as uncharacterized. The record is from RefSeq and is a predicted model, not a curated record. The transcript is spliced from 3 exons. Lineage: Eukaryota; Metazoa; Mollusca; Polyplacophora; Chitonida; Chitonidae.